RNAcentral lists this long non-coding RNA (2300 nucleotides) under Apis mellifera (honey bee). RNAcentral's name for it is "uncharacterized LOC113218646". Lineage: Eukaryota; Metazoa; Arthropoda; Insecta; Hymenoptera; Apidae. The record is from RNAcentral.
UUUGAAAGAGAAGUGAACGUUCGAAGAAUCUGAAAAAUAUUUUAAAAAAGAAGAAAAAGGAAGGAAUCGAAGAGAUGUUGAAUUUGAAAGUCAACGGACACGAGGUUGAAAUCGUGAUGGGAAAGAGAUCGUUGGAAAUUUUGUUCUAGAAUUUUCGAAGAUGAUAUCUUCUUUUUUCUUCUUCUCCAAUUUGAAAGAAGAGUGAAUGUUCGAAGAAUCUGAAAAAUAUUUAAAAAAAAAAAGAAAAAGGAAGAGAUGUUGAAUUUGAACGUUUGUAAAGUCAAAAAAUUCAACAGAAAUUCUUUGAAGAAUUUGAAAUUGCAGCACUCGUUCGAUUUGUGGAUAUCCAUGGCCAGGUACUGGCAAAUGUGAUAAAUCGGGGAAUGUCGAGCGAAUUUUUCUCCGAGAGUUUAUACGUGUCCCGGCCAAAGCCUUGAAAUUUAACCAGACACGUCAGUUUAUCGCCUCUUAUCGGAAGGUUAUACGUCAUCGUAUUCUUUACAUUAUUCAAUAGAUAUACUUGACAAAAAAAAAAAAAAAAAAAAAAUCGCUCUUUCAGCUGUAGAAGAUGUUAAGAAUCCGUUGAUUCUCGAGAACUCGAUUGAUAUAAAUUCGUGAUCGUGAUGCCACGUCCCGAAGGCGAAACGAAAUCGCGACGAGAUUGUUCGUAAAAAAAAAAAAAAAAAAAAAAAAGGAAAGAAUGAAAAGAUUAACGUACACGGUAACGCGUAAAAAUGUUGAACAUAAUAAUUGUUGCAGGACAUAAAGAUUUCAUAAAAAACGCGUAAUCUUUCGAAAAAGGAGGAUCGAUAGAUUUUUAUUGGAGCAAGUUAUACCACGUCCAUCGUUCUUGCAACCGUUACUUUUUAUCUUUAUUUAUUUACUACAACGUGACUAAUGCCGAUUUUGCAACAAACCUCGCUUUGACAGAGUCUUUUCGUUCUUCUUUUUUUUCCUUUUUUUUUUUUUUUUACUGUGUCAAUCAUAGUUUUUCAUUAUCAUGUUUUCCUUUUCUUUUCUAAAACUUCAGACAGAAGUACUUCAUCAUCGGUGUACAAUUCUUUUUUUCUUAAUCUUCAAUUCUAUUCCGACACGACUCUCGAGAAAGGAAACAAUUACUUGAUAGAUUUCUCUAGAGGUCCGAAGGGAAAGGGUUGCAGCGCGAAACAAGGGCACAUUUAGAUUAUAGGAUCCUCGUGGAAAAGGGUCCUGCGUGUACCUGCGCAACGUUUCACCCUUCGCGGUCCCUUCUGACCUGCGCCGGAUCAUCGAGUCCCCCGACAGGGAGGGGGAUGGAAUCAGGUUUUCCACACGCACGCUCUUCGCGCCGAACAGGUAGUGGACGACGAGUUGGGCUCGUGCAGGUAUAUGACCCUUCGAUCUUGCCCGGGUCAACCUUUCUUCCUCGCCCGGUUUCUCCCUUCCCUGGAUGACCCUUUUUUUUUCUUCCGCCCUUCUUCUUCUUCUUCUUCUAUUCUUGCUCUUUUCCUCGAGAGGAAAGAUGCAAUGCUCGCGAAUCGAGAAGAGGAAUCGAGAAGAAAAAUUGAAAAGAAUUUUGGAGUUUUUAUCUUUUUCUUUUUCGUGCAAUUAUUUUUUAUUGUUCUCUUGUAUUUAGUUAUCUUCUCUUUGGAGAAAAUGUUCGAAGGAACAUUUUUGGUGAUUGGAGGUAGAAAAAUAAGUAUCUUUUUAGAGUUAGAAAAGAUAUUUAUUUUUUAGAGGUUUGAGGAGGAGAUUUUAAUUACUCUUUUUUUUUUUUUAUUAUUAAAAAUAUAUGUUACGAUUAAAAUAAAAAUAUCAAUCAGUGGAAAUUGAUGUAAAUUCCUUGAUAGCAAAGUUAUUUUUGGAUCACUUACGAUUCACGUUUUACUUAAUCUCGCUAUGAAUUAUUCAAUUGUUGCAGAGAUGAAUGCUAUUAGAAGAGAUUUCCGGAUGCUGCGCAAGCGUGAUCCCUCGAUCUCCUAUUGGCCUUUGGACCACAACCAAUCCAGAUUCAGUACUCCCCUCUUCUCGAAUGGUCCAGCCUCUCGACCACUCUUGUCAGAAUCACUUUCACGCCGCUUCUUAUCAACUACUAUCUCCCUCUCGAUUUUUUAUCCCCUCUCCCCUUCAACUCACAGUCCAGCAUCAAAAAAAAAAAAUUAUUCAAAAUUAUUUCAUCAUUCAAUUAUUUCAAUUUCGUCCAAAAAUUUAUUCAUAAUAUAUUCAAACCGAUAUCGCUUACAUUCCAUCGUCAGUUUCUUCACUUUAUUAGCGAGAAAGAGAAGAAGAAUCUCUCUCGUAUUCGUAAUAAAAAAAAAAAA